GACGAACGCUGGCGGCGUGCUUAACACAUGCAAGUCGAGCGGGAAACUUCGGUUUCCAGCGGCGGACGGGUGAGUAACACGUGGGCAACCUGCCUCACAAUGAGGGAUAGCCUUCCGAAAGGAAGAUUAAUACCACAUAACACAAGAGAAACGCAUGUUUCUCUUGCCAAAGAAUUUCGUUGUGAGAUGGGCCCGCGGCGCAUUAGCUUGUUGGUGAGGUAACGGCUCACCAAGGCUUCGAUGCGUAGCCGACCUGAGAGGGUGAUCGGCCACAUUGGAACUGAGACACGGUCCAGACUCCUACGGGAGGCAGCAGUGGGGAAUAUUGCACAAUGGAGGAAGCUCUGAUGCAGCAACGCCGCGUGAGUGAUGAAGGUCUUCGGAUUGUAAAGCUCUGUCUUCUGGGACGAUAAUGACGGUACCAGAGGAGGAAGCCACGGCUAACUACGUGCCAGCAGCCGCCGUAA
Molecule: ribosomal RNA, 467 nt
Filed under: uncultured bacterium
Lineage: Bacteria
Description: partial 16S ribosomal RNA
Rfam family: Bacterial small subunit ribosomal RNA
Source: RNAcentral